GACGAACGCUGGCGGCGUGCUUAACACAUGCAAGUCGAACGGAAAGGCCCCUUUGGGGGUACUCGAGUGGCGAACAGGUGAGUAACACGUGAGUAACCUGCCCUUGACUUCGGGAUAACUUCAGGAAACUGGGGCUAAUACCGGAUAGGAAUCCUUGCUGCAUGGUGGGGGUUGGAAAGCUUCGGCGGUUUUGGAUGGACUCGCGGCUUAUCAGCUUGUUGGUGGGGUAGUGGCUUACCAAGGCUUUGACGGGUAGCCGGCCUGAGAGGGCGACCGGCCACAUUGGGACUGAGAUACGGCCCAGACGCCUACGGGAGGAAGCAGGGGGGAAUAUUGCACAAUGGGCGGAAGCCUGAUGCAGCAACGCCGCGUGCGGGAUGACGGCCUUCGGGUUGGAAACCGCUUUCAGCAGGGGCGAAGCUUGUGGUGACGGUACCUGCAGAAGAAGCACCGGCUAACUACGUG
Molecule: ribosomal RNA, 465 nt
Filed under: uncultured bacterium
Lineage: Bacteria
Description: partial 16S ribosomal RNA
Rfam family: Bacterial small subunit ribosomal RNA
Source: RNAcentral